This 456-nucleotide ribosomal RNA is filed under the name uncultured bacterium. RNAcentral describes it as "bacterial SSU rRNA". It matches the Rfam family "Bacterial small subunit ribosomal RNA", at positions 340 to 786 of the family's 1533-position model. The record is from RNAcentral.
UACGGGAGGCAGCAGUGGGGAAUAUUGGACAAUGGGCGAAAGCCUGAUCCAGCCAUGCCGCGUGUGUGAAGAAGGUCUUCGGAUUGUAAAGCACUUUAAGUUGGGAGGAAGGGCAGUAAGUUAAUACCUUGCUGUUUUGACGUUACCAACAGAAUAAGCACCGGCUAACUUCGUGCCAGCAGCCGCGGUAAUACGAAGGGUGCAAGCGUUAAUCGGAAUUACUGGGCGUAAAGCGCGCGUAGGUGGUUCGUUAAGUUGGAUGUGAAAGCCCCGGGCUCAACCUGGGAACUGCAUCCAAAACUGGCGAGCUAGAGUAUGGCAGAGGGUGGUGGAAUUUUCCUGUGUAGCGGUGAAAUGCGUAGAUAUAGGAAGGAACACCAGUGGCGAAGGCGACCACCUGGGCUAAUACUGACACUGAGGUGCGAAAGCGUGGGGAGCAAACAGGGAUUAGAUACC